UACGUAGGUGGCAAGCGUUAUCCGGAUUUAUUGGGCGUAAAGCGGGUGCAGACGGCUUUUCAAGUCAGAUGUAAAAUCUCCUGGCUUAACUGGGAGGUACCAUUUGAUACUGUUAAGCUAGAGGGCAAUAGAGGGAGGUAGAAUUCCCGGUGUAGUGGUGAAAUGCGUAGAUAUCGGGAGGAAUACCAGUGGCGAAGGCGGCCUCCUAGGUUGUUUCUGACGUUCAUGCCCGAAGGUGUGGGGAGCAAACAGG
RNAcentral lists this ribosomal RNA (253 nucleotides) under uncultured Dehalococcoidaceae bacterium. Its description in RNAcentral is "partial 16S ribosomal RNA". It matches the Rfam family "Bacterial small subunit ribosomal RNA", at positions 524 to 776 of the family's 1533-position model. The record is from RNAcentral. Lineage: Bacteria; Bacillati; Chloroflexota; Dehalococcoidia; Dehalococcoidales; Dehalococcoidaceae.